GAUGAACGCUGGCGGCGUGCCUAAUACAUGCAAGUCGAACGCAGUGGGGACGGGUGAGUAACACGUGGGUAACCUCCCAUCAGAAGGGAUGAAACUUGGAAACAGGUGCUAAACCGCUACUUAUAGAUGGAGCCGCGCUGCAUUAGCUAGGUGGUGAGGUAACGGCUCACCAAGGCCACGAUGCAUCGCCGACCUGAGAGAGUGAUCGGCCAAAUUGGGACUGAGACACGGCCCAGACUCCUAAGGGAGGCAGCAGUAGGGAAUCUUCGGCAAGGGACGAAAUUCUGACCGAGCAACGCCGCGGGAGUGAAGAAGGCUUUCGGAUCGGAAAACUCUGUUGUUAGAGAAGCGGUAACUAACCAGAAAGCCACGGCGAACUACGUGCCAGCAGCCGCGGUAAUUC
RNAcentral lists this ribosomal RNA (403 nucleotides) under uncultured bacterium. RNAcentral describes it as "partial 16S ribosomal RNA". It matches the Rfam family "Bacterial small subunit ribosomal RNA", at positions 28 to 526 of the family's 1533-position model. The record is from RNAcentral.